This 65-nucleotide transfer RNA is filed under the name Nasonia vitripennis (jewel wasp). Its description in RNAcentral is "tRNA-Asp". The record is from RNAcentral. RNAcentral also lists the same sequence under 1 other name. Lineage: Eukaryota; Metazoa; Arthropoda; Insecta; Hymenoptera; Pteromalidae.
AAAAGAUUAGUUAAAAUAUAACCUUAAUUUGUCAAAUUAAAAUUAUUAAUUUCUAAUAUCUUUUU